RNAcentral lists this ribosomal RNA (253 nucleotides) under uncultured bacterium. Its description in RNAcentral is "partial 16S ribosomal RNA". It matches the Rfam family "Bacterial small subunit ribosomal RNA", at positions 524 to 776 of the family's 1533-position model. The record is from RNAcentral.
UACAGAGACUGCAAGCGUUACUCGGAUUCACUGGGCGUAAAGGGAGCGCAGGCGGACCGGUGUGUCAGAUGUGAAACCCCAGGGCUCAACCCUGGGACUGCGUCUGAAACUGCCGGUCUAGGGACUCGGAGGGGCUAAUGGAAUUCCUGGUGGAGCAGUGGAAUGCGUAGAUAUCAGGAGGAACACCAACGGCGAAGGCAGCUAGCUGGACGAGAUCCGACGCUCAGGCUCGAAAGUAUGGGGAGCAAAAAGG